GUGUUGUAUGAAAGGUAAAAAGAUUAGCACUCCCCUUGCUAAGAACAGAAGAGGUCUUAGUGGACCUCUUCGCAACACAUAUACAGUGAAGGCAUUCCAUCUACCCUGUGGCACCUAACCAUCAAGAAUAUGU
Molecule: non-coding RNA, 133 nt
Filed under: Notamacropus eugenii (tammar wallaby)
Lineage: Eukaryota; Metazoa; Chordata; Mammalia; Diprotodontia; Macropodidae
Source: RNAcentral